AAUUGUACUUGCUAGCACAGCGGAUUCUAUUUCUUCUUAUCCAGCUCCUUCUUCUAACUCUUCUUAUGAUCCUAACUUACCUUAUAUUCUUAUGAUCCUUACUUGAACCCAGCUUUAUUUGUUCACCGCUUAACCUCUUCUUCUAGACAACAUUAUUGUUACAUACCGAUUAAGACAGUAAAGCAGGCCAGGCCAUACCUAGACCCUGAUUCCUUGUAUACCCC
This 224-nucleotide long non-coding RNA is filed under the name Musa acuminata (dwarf banana). RNAcentral describes it as "long non-coding RNA (MACU_LNC010970)". The record is from RNAcentral. Lineage: Eukaryota; Viridiplantae; Streptophyta; Magnoliopsida; Zingiberales; Musaceae.